Molecule: ribosomal RNA, 400 nt
Filed under: uncultured bacterium
Lineage: Bacteria
Description: bacterial SSU rRNA
Rfam family: Bacterial small subunit ribosomal RNA
Source: RNAcentral
UGGGGAAUCUUCCGCAAUGGACGAAAGUCUGACGGAGCAACGCCGCGUGAGUGAAGAAGGUCUUCGGAUUGUAAAGCUCUGUUAUUAGGGACGAAUGUACUUACUGUAAAUAAUGGUAAGUAAUGACGGUACCUGAAGAGGAAGCCACGGCUAACUACGUGCCAGCAGCCGCGGUAAUACGUAGGUGGCGAGCGUUGUCCGGAAUUAUUGGGCGUAAAGAGCGCGUAGGCGGGACAAUAAGUCUGUCUUAAAAGAGCGGGGCUCAACCCCGUUAUGGGACAGAAACUGAUGUUCUUGAGUACCGGAGAGGAAAGUGGAAUUCCCAGUGUAGCGGUGAAAUGCGUAGAUAUUGGGAGGAACACCAGUGGCGAAGGCGACUUUCUGGACGGUGUCUGACGCU